GCUGGGCACAGUGGUGUACGCCUGUAAUCCCAGCAGCUUGGGAGGCUGAGGCAGGAGGAUUGCUAGUUCAAAGCCAGCCUCAGCAAUGGCGAGGCGCUAAGCAACUCAGUGAGACCCUGUCUCUA
Molecule: small RNA, 125 nt
Filed under: Marmota monax (woodchuck)
Lineage: Eukaryota; Metazoa; Chordata; Mammalia; Rodentia; Sciuridae
Source: RNAcentral